RNAcentral lists this long non-coding RNA (4095 nucleotides) under Mus musculus (house mouse). RNAcentral's name for it is "RIKEN cDNA 9430018G01 gene (9430018G01Rik)". The record is from RNAcentral. Lineage: Eukaryota; Metazoa; Chordata; Mammalia; Rodentia; Muridae.
GAGAAAUAAACUUCCUUUAAGACAGGGAGAACAUGGAGGCACAAUGUAGGUAGCCAGGGUUUUAGGUGAAUCUUCCACCAGAGGAUUUAUAACUUAAAAUAGUUUGCAAAAUUAGGAUGCUAGUUUCUGUGCACAGGGAAUGUGUUGUCUAUUGAUUCUGAACUAAGACUGUGUGGUGUUUUCCUUCACAUGUCGACUCAGCUGGGUUCCAGAGAAAGGUACACAGCAGGGCACCCCAGCCAGCUGUGUGAAUUUAGAAGUGUGGGGCCUGUGUGGCAGAGGCCCGCAAUGGAGAGAUUUCAGAGCUCUGAGUCAGACAGUCUGCCAGGCUGAGAACAGGUCCUGCACUGCAGCUGAAAGGCACCAAGAGCUGCAAGUCUUAUGCCCAAGAGGACAGCAAGGAAUCGGAAACCUGAGUUCUGCUUUUCUCACGUGAAUCUGCAGGAAACAACCAAGCUGGGCAACAAAACAAGUCAGAAACCAAAACCUGGCCAAGCAACCAAAGCAGAGCAUGAUGAACAAAGGAAGUAUUUAGCAAGGCUGAUGAAAACCAGCAGAGGAGCAGUGCAAGCUGCAGGUGGGUCCACAGGGCCAGCUUUGGACUACUUCUCAAGACCUGUCCUUCCAGCGCUGCAUGGAGUAUAAUAUUCAGAUGGAGCAAGAAAGAUGCUACCCGGAUAUAUGUUUAUAAGAUUUCCAUGGUUCAAAUGCAUAUCUCUCUGACUAUGCCAAUGGGGCAGGGAUUUCGAUCUAUGACAGACCAUAUGUAGUCCAUGAGAAUAAGUUCAUUUUGGACCUCAAAAGCCCAAUGCAUGUACUUCUAAGAUUACUCAUUCAUGUUUGUGAGAACCUUUGAUAUACAUGCACGUCCUCUGUCCAGAGGCCCAUAACCAUGGUCAAUUUAACAGUGUUUGCAAUGGAGAAGUCCAUGAGUAUUUACUGAGGGAAGGACCUGAAUAAAGUUAUAAGAGCCCAGAGAAAAACUAUUGAUAAGAAACAGGCAAGAAACUAACGAGCAGGCUGAGUAACAUAAUCAAGUUACUACGCUAUUGUGCUUCCCUACUUGAGAACAGCUUUGAACUUAUUUGUAGAUUUUUUUUUAAAGAAAAUGAAUCAAUCUCUCUCUCUCUCUCUCUCUCUCUCUCUCUCUCUCUCUCUCUCUCUCUCUCUGUGCAUGCACAUGUGUAUGUGUAUAGGCAGGUAUACAUGAAUGCAUAGAAAUAAGAACAUAGAGGUCAGAGGUCCAUAUCAGGUAUCUUUCUGAAUCAUUCUCCACAUUUUUUAAAUCUUCAAAAUAUUUAUUUACUUUGUAUAUAUGAAUGUUUUUCCUGCAUUCCUAUAUGUGUACCAAAGACAUGUCUGGCACCUGCAGAGGUCAGAAGAAGGUGUUGGAUCCCGUGGAACUGGAGUUAGGAUGGCUAUGAGACACCAUGUAGGAACUGGGAACCAAAUCUUGGUAUUCUGAAAGAGCAAGUACUCUAACCUGCUGAAAAAUGCUGCCAGGCUUUCCACAUUAUUUUUUGAGUCAUGUUCUCUUACUGAACUCAUAAAUUUUGGCUAGGUUAGCUUACCAAAGAGCUACAGGGACAUACUUUUGCAAGCUCCCCAGCCCUGCUCAGGCCUGGGGUUACUCUAACACACUGCCUAGUUUUUACAUGGCUACUGUAAAUCUAAAAUCAGUUACAAAGGAAGCAUUUUACCCAAUGAGCUCUACAGCACAGUAUUUAGUGGUAUUUGAAAAACAUUAACAUGUCAUUUUUAUUACCUCACAUAUAUACAAUUCAUAUAUUUAUGUUUCAUUAAUAAGCAAGUAACAAACAAGAAAGAGAUAUUUAUUAGUCAUCCAACACUUGUUAGGAACUGUUCCAAGCACCCAAGAAUGUCAAGCUCCUUCCUUUACUUGAGUAACAUUGAAAUGGAAAACAAAAACACACCACAGAGGUUUUGGAAGAGCAUUAGUUACAAUGUGGUGAAUGGUAAAAGACUGAGAAAUGCACCUACACCCACCGGACCAUGAGUUACUCUAUACAGGUGAGCUGUGGCAGAUUACAUUCAGAACGAGGGUGGUAGGACAGACCCAAAGGACAAGAAUGAGGAUGCCACAGUUGAAAGGUGGGAGUUGCUUCUGAUAGCAGCCUGCACUAAAGCUCCAGAGAACCCAGGCAUUUUCUAAAAGUUUCCAGUGCCCAUUUACUAGACCUGAAUGAGGAAUCAGUAAAUAGCAGUAAAAAUAUCACUACAGUGUUGUGGCUAGCCCCGGUUCUGUUUGUAUUUUGAUGCUAACUCAGCUUCCCCAAGAGGGGCUGCCUGGGAUGAGAAGUGAAUUAAGUACUCAGGUGACUUCCUGUGAACCUUCCCCUGAUGAAUAAAGAUUUCUAGGAACCAAUCAGUGGGCAAGGAGCACUGACUUCCUGGUUGGAGAGCAAGAGAAGCAGAAAAAAAAGUCUUGCUUUUAGACAGGUGAGAGGCUGGAGGACAACAGGUAGCUAACAAGAGACCUCAGGAUUAGAUGGUGGAACCUCCAGGAUUUACCUGCCGAGGAGUUAUACUUAGGAUAGCUUACACAAUUAGGAUGCUAGUUGCUGCUCCCACUGAUUGAAUUCGCUGUUGAUUCGGCACAAAGUUUGUGUGGUGUUUUCCUUCACACAGUGACUCAACUGGGUUCCAGGGGGAAAGGUACUGGCUGCAAAGUGUGGGUUUGCAAGAAGUGCACCCCAAAAGGCCAUGGGAAUCUCGAAGCAUGGGGCUGGCGUGGUAGUGACCCGACAUUGGGAAUUUAGAGAGCUAGGUAGAGAGAUUUCACAGCUCCCUUCCUUUGUCUCUCUUACUGCUUACAUGGCACAUCUUCCUAGUUCAAAUACUUUGCAUUUGUUACUUUUUUUCUAGAGCACAUUAUCUAUCCCAAGAUAUUUAUUUAAUAGCUUUACUUUCUUUACUUCAUAUAUCUAUAACCCUCACACCGUUUGUAAUACAAUGCAGUGCUAAACAGUUUAAUGACAUAGCAUAUCCUGUGGUCACUGCCAGAAAUAGACUAUCCUUAACAUGAAGGCAGAGUCUUUCUAUCUCUAGCAGUUAGAAUAAAGUGUCAUACACACACAGCCAGUACAUGUUCGUUGAACAAAUGGAUGACUGAAACAAGAACAGAACAGCAGUAGAAGAGGUCAUCAGAUUUAAGUGGUGGAGGGAAGGAAGAAUGGGGCCACGGCUCAGGGAGAUGGAUAAAAUAGGGAUUAUGGGGAGUUUCAGUGGAAGUAUAGACACAAUUAAGAUACAUAAAUGGGGACAAAACUGAGUCAGUGUGUUAAGAAGAUAAAGGAGGGUUCAAAGAAACCAGAUGUAGGUAUAAUGGAAAGAGCAUUUGAAACACAUGGAAUUUACCAUGCUUCCACAGUAUUGUUGACAAAUAUUAUUGACAAAAGGGUAGGUAAUUGAGAAAUCAAUUUCACUAAUGCAUAACAAUGGACAGUAAGAGAUUAUCUAGUGAUAAUACUCUAUUGCUUAAAAUUUGUAUUUCUUAUUAUUAGUUUGUAUGUUUGUGUCUUAUAAUAUGUUUGUAAUCCCAUCUAUACACAUGCCAGCAAACACUGUGUUCUCUUUUUUUACAUAGUAAAUAUGAAAAAAGAAACCACUCCUGACUAAUUUAUAUGUAUCUCUUACCCUCAGGUCAAGAUCAUUUAAAAGGAUCUUAUUAGUUAACAAGGCAUGGUAGUACUAGAAGACAUCUUUGGCUUUUCAAAGGUCACUACAUUUAGUAAAAACCUAUCUCAUAGUCCUGUGAUAUCAGGUCAGUGAGCCAACUACAGUGUCAGUAGCUGAAUAGCCAGAAGCUUGGACUUUAGCUGAGGGUCUGAACUAAAUUUAUUAGCAUGUUUUGCAAGAUUCUUUUCAUUUCUUUCCCCUUGUAACAUUCUCAUUUUCUAACACUGUAAGUUAAAUAGUAGUGGAAAGUGUUUUGUUUUGAAAAAUGAAUGAAAAACUGGGCUCUGCUUUAAAUGUCUUAACAGAGCCAUGGCAAGGCUAGCUAAGAAGUAUAUAACACCAAAGGAAGACAUGAUUUUACUUUUCUAUUAAGGCAAUAAAAACCUUUCUGUAACC